Colletes gigas is the source of this 705-nucleotide long non-coding RNA. RefSeq lists it as uncharacterized. The transcript has 3 exons. NCBI's taxonomy places the organism in Eukaryota, Metazoa, Arthropoda, Insecta, Hymenoptera, Colletidae. The record is from RefSeq and is a predicted model, not a curated record.
UUGCAUCACUUACAGAUAUUCCUCGCACAUGACUGAAAGGUGUACCAAUGCAUUAAUCGACGGUUCAUGAAAUCCAUAAACCAUGUAGUUUUCAUUAUUACGGAUCACGAGUGAUAAGAUAUAGGUUUUAACAAGCUACCCGGGAGUUUCCAGAAAUUUCUAGAAUUUCCAAUAUGUCGACAUCGAUGACGAACAAUUCAGUGUUGUAAAUGCAAGAAUGGCGGGACAAAUUGGAAGAAUGUAGGACUUCCUGGGAUCUGUGUGUUUCCUUUCAUUUGCCGUGGAAUAACACUUUCGAAAAGAAUUUAUCGAACGCGUUUCCACUUUCUGUUUAAACAUAGCAAGAGUUCAUACCGAAAUAAACUUCAUAUAAAUGUGUAUACUAAUACGUGACCUUGAACCAACUUAACCGACUAUGGCUUCCACGAGGGAAGAAAUUCAACGGUUUCCAGGGACGAAUGCAUCGUAUACACGACACAAUUACAUUUCCACGGUACUCGGCGUGCGCUUCGCUCUUCCAAAAUUUCUCGUUGGAAAGUUACGUACCCUCAUCUCUGCAAUUACGAGCGUACGGGUACUUAACUAUGGCGGUAACUAUACCGAUCACUAUGUUAAUCACCUGGAUAACUUUUAACUAUCCGCCAGGAGAACACGUAGUCGUACAUUUUUGGCGAUAACAAUGUGUGCCAUACGUAACCGUAUAUA